This is a long non-coding RNA of Oncorhynchus tshawytscha (Chinook salmon), 299 nucleotides long. The record is from Ensembl. Lineage: Eukaryota; Metazoa; Chordata; Actinopteri; Salmoniformes; Salmonidae.
UAUGUUGAGGCUGGGACUGGGAUAGUGGGUACGGAAGUAUGGUAUGUUGAGGCUGGGACUGGGAUAGUGCGUAUGGAGGUAUGGUAUGUUGAGGCUGGGACUGGGAUAGUGGGUACGGAGGUAUGGUAUGUUGAGGCUGGGACUGGGAUAGUGGGUAUGGAGGUAUGGUAUGUUGAGGCUGGGAGUUUGUGGUUUGUUAUUAAUGUGUGUCUUGGCAUGUGAGGGGUGUGUCUGCCAGUGUGUUAGGCUGUGGAACAAUGGGUGAUGUUUGGUAUGUGGGGGCUGUCUGUGAGAGGGGG